This 61-nucleotide transfer RNA is filed under the name Sutterella wadsworthensis. It matches the Rfam family "tRNA", at positions 7 to 64 of the family's 71-position model. Rfam says of the family: Transfer RNA (tRNA) molecules are approximately 80 nucleotides in length. Their secondary structure includes four short double-helical elements and three loops (D, anti-codon, and T loops). Further hydrogen bonds mediate the characteristic L-shaped molecular structure. tRNAs have two regions of fundamental functional importance: the anti-codon, which is responsible for specific mRNA codon recognition, and the 3' end, to which the tRNAs corresponding amino acid is attached (by aminoacyl-tRNA synthetases). tRNAs cope with the degeneracy of the genetic code in two manners: having more than one tRNA (with a specific anti-codon) for a particular amino acid; and 'wobble' base-pairing, i.e. permitting non-standard base-pairing at the 3rd anti-codon position. RNAcentral also lists the same sequence under 3 other names. The record is from RNAcentral. Lineage: Bacteria; Pseudomonadati; Pseudomonadota; Betaproteobacteria; Burkholderiales; Sutterellaceae.
GAUAGCUCAGUCGGUAGAGCGACGGACUGUUAAUCCGCAGGUCGCUGGUUCGAACCCAGCU